This is a non-coding RNA of Odocoileus virginianus texanus, 489 nucleotides long. The record is from RefSeq and is a predicted model, not a curated record. NCBI's taxonomy places the organism in Eukaryota, Metazoa, Chordata, Mammalia, Artiodactyla, Cervidae.
CUAGAAUUAACACCCAAGCUAUUUCUCUUCAAAUUACUCUUAGCCAAUUAGCAGCCAAGACUUUCUUUGCCAGAUCAUGUGUCUUGAGUCAGUUUGGAAAACAUGUGCAUCAAACAUUUCCUUCCUUCCUCCCAUCUUUGAUACCUUCCUUCCUUCUUCUCCACCGUGAUAGGUGCUGUGAAUCUGGUGGAAAAGAAGAGACAUGGAGAGCAACUGUCACAGCGCCGUGCGUUCUAUGCCAUCAUCUUAAAGGUGAAGAACUGAAGAUAUAAGGGGAUUGAAGAAGAACAAGUCACAAUCCAAAUCAGGAGCAGAAGCAAUCACAUUGAUUAAGAUGAAUUCGUCAGAGCCAACAUCAGUGAACUCGACUUGGGUUGUUCAUGGAGUACCAUUCAUUUAACUUUGGCUUUUCUUUUCUUCCCCUCACCCACCACCAGAGAUGAUACAUUUAAUUUGAAAAGGCAUAUAUGGAUGUAAAUAUAUUGAGGA